CCAUGAUGAAAAGCAAAGCCGGGACAAUACCGAAGUACAGAGAAACAAGCUAAGGUUUAGAAAAUUGAAAUGUCUGACCCUAAGUUUCUUCAAAUAUCUAGGGUCAGAGUUCUCUCUUGCACCUGUCAUUACAAAUAUUAUCAACUGCCACAAAUUUGUUUCAUAUUAUUCACCAGCAGUUAAUAUCUGGUAAUGUUUCAUUGUUACUGGACCUCAGAAACUUUUAUGAUGUAGCCUGGACUGUGUUUAAAUGUAAAAAUUGAAAAAUAUUGAGAGGUGAAGCCAGCUGGACUUCCUGGGUCCAGUGGGGACUUGGAGAAGUUUUCUGACUUACAAGAGGGUUGUAAAAUGCACCAGUCAGCACUCUGUAGCUAGGAUUGUAAAACGCACCAAUCAGCGCUCUGUGGCUAGUUAGAGGUUUGUAAAAUGGAUGAAUCAGUGCUGUGUAAAAUGGACCAAUCAGCACUCUGUAAAAUGGACCAAUCAGCAGGAUGUGGGCAGGGACAAAUAAGGGAAUAAAAGCUGGACACCCCAGCCAGCAGGGGCAACCUGCGGGUCUCCUUCCACGCUGUGGAAGAUUUGUUCUUUUGCUCUUCACAAUAAAUCUUGCUGCUGCUCAUUCUUUGGGUCCACAACACCUUUAAGAGCUGUAACGCUCACUGCGAAGGUCUGCAACUUCCUUCUUGAAGUAAGAGAGACCACAAAACCACCGGAAAGAAGAAACUCCGGACACACCAUCCUUAAGAGCUGUAACACUCACAGUGAAGAUCACCGGCUUCAUUCUUGAAGUCAGCACGACCACGAACCCACCGGAAGGAAGAAACUCUGGACACAAUAUCAUAUAUAUGGAACAGGCAAGAAGCAGUUAAGCCAUGUGCUGAGUGAUUCUGGGAGAACCAAUAAUAACUACAGAAACAAAAUGGUUGUGGUCUGGGUGGACUGAGAAAGGAAAACUCACUUUUUCAUAUUAAGGUGAGCACCUUAAACAAUCUUCAGAAACACAAGGGAGACUCCAAUGCCAAAUAAAGGCUAUAAAUCUAAAUCAUUUGACAUAAUAAAGAUGAGAUGGAGCAAGUGACUAAGCAGAGGAGAUGAAAAAUGAGUCUCGCUCUGUUGUCCAGGCUGGAGUGCAGUGGCAUGAUCUCUGCUCACUGCAACCUCUACCUCCCAGGUUCAAGCAAUUCUCUGCCUCAGCCUCCCGAGUAGCUGCCUUACAGGCACCUGCCACCACGCCCAGGUAAUUUUUUGUAUUUUUAGUAGAGAUGGGAUUUCACCAUUUUGGCCAGGCUGGUCUUGAACUCCUGACCUUGUGAUCCAGCUGCCUCAGCCUCCCAAAGUGCUGGGAUUACAGGAGUGAGCCACCUUGCCCAGCCCUUGUCCCAAUUUUUAAUUGGAUUAUUUGUUUGUUUUCUGUUGAGUUAUUUGAACUUCUUAUAUUUUCCUAAUAUAUUGUUGUUAGAUGAACAGUUUGCAAAUAGUUUGCACAUUCUUUAGGUUGCUCUUCACUUCAUUGUUUCCUUAAAAAGCAGAAGCUUUUUAACUUAAUGUAAUCACAUUUGUCUAUUUUUGUUUUUGUUGCCUGUGCUUUUGAGGUCUUACCCAAAUCAUCUUUGCUCAGAUCAAUGUCCUAAAACGUUUCCCCAAUGUUUUCUUUUAUGUCUUAUAUUUAUCUUUCAUGUCUUAUAUUUAAGUCUUUAAUCCAUUUUGGGUUGGUUUUUUGCACGUGGUGAAAGAUGGGGAUAUAGUUUCAUUCUUCUUCAUGUGGAUAUCCAGUCUUCCCAGCACCAUUUAUUAAACAUGCUGUUCCUUGGUGGCUUGUCAAAGAUAAGUUGACUCUAAGUGGAUGGAUUUAUUUCUUGAUUCUCUAUUCUGUUCCAUUGGUCAAUAUGUCUAUUUUUAUGCAAAUACCAGUCUGAUUUGAAUACUAUAGCUUUGUAGUAAAAUUUGAAAUCAAGUAGUAUGAUCCCUCCAGCUAUAUUCUUUUUGUUUGAGAUUAACUAUUAAAGGACUUUUGUGUCUCUGUACAAAUAUUAGGGUUUUUUUUCUGUGAAGAAAAUCAUUGAAAUUUUGAUGGGGAUUACACUGAAUCUGUAGAUCUGUUUGAGUAGUAUAGAAAUUUUAACAAGUUAAUUCUUUUAAUCCAUGAGCAUGGGAUAUCUUUUUAUUUUUUGUGUAUGCUCUUCAAUUUCUUUCCUCAGUGUUUUAUAGCUUUCCUUGCAGAGAUCUUUCACAUUUUGGUUAAAUUUAUUCCAAAGUUUUCUGUUUGUUUGUUUUUUGUUUUUUGUAGGUGUUGUAAAUGGGAUUGCUUUCUUAAUUUCUUUUGCAGAUUGAUCACUGUUAACAUGUGAAUGAUACUGAGUUUGUAUGUUGAUUUUGUAUCCUGCAACUUUAUUAAAUUAAUUUAUUAAUUCUGAGUAUUUUGGUGGAGUAUUUAGGUUUUUCUAACUAUAGGAGCAUGUUGUUUGCAAGCAACGAUAAUUUGACUUCUUUAAUUUGAAUUCGUAUGGCUUUUAUUUAUUUAUCUUGCCAGAUUGCUCUGGCUAGGAUUUCCAGUACUAUUUUGAAUAGAAGUGGUGAAAGUUUCAAAUCUUAGUUGAAAAGCUUUCAAUUUUUUUGACAUGGAUUUUCGCUCUUGUUGCCCAGGCUGGAGUGCAAUGGCGCCAUCUCGGCUCACCGCAAACUCCCCCUCCCAGGUUCAAUCGAUUCUCCUGCCUCAGCCUCCCGAGUAGCUGGGAUUACAGACAUGUUCGGCCAUGCCUGGCUA
Molecule: long non-coding RNA, 2764 nt
Filed under: Homo sapiens (human)
Lineage: Eukaryota; Metazoa; Chordata; Mammalia; Primates; Hominidae
Description: HSALNT0097054
Source: RNAcentral